GAUGAACGCUGGCUACAGGCUUAACACAUGCGAGUCGAGGGGAAACGACGGGGAAGCUUGCUUCCCCGGGCGUCGACCGGCGCACGGGUGAGUAACGCGUAUCCAACCUGCCUCUGACUGAGGGAUAACCCGUCGAAAGUCGGCCUAAUACCUCAUGGCAUCGUCUGCGGGCAUCCAACGACGAUUAAAGAUUUCAUCGGUCAGGGAUGGGGAUGCGUCUGAUUAGCUUGUUGGCGGGGUAACGGCCCACCAAGGCUACGAUCAGUAGGGGUUCUGAGAGGAAGGUCCCCCACAUUGGAACUGAGACACGGUCCAAACUCCUACGGGAGGCAGCAGUGAGGAAUAUUGGUCAAUGGGCGGGAGCCUGAACCAGCCAAGUAGCGUGCAGGAUGACGGCCCUAUGGGUUGUAAACUGCUUUUAUGCGGGGAUAAAGUGAGGGACGUGUCCUUCAUUGCAGGUACCGCAUGAAUAAGGACCGGCUAAUUCCGUG
Molecule: ribosomal RNA, 491 nt
Filed under: uncultured bacterium
Lineage: Bacteria
Description: partial 16S ribosomal RNA
Rfam family: Bacterial small subunit ribosomal RNA
Source: RNAcentral